GAUGAACGCUGGCGGCGUGCCUAAUACAUGCAAGUCGAGCGAACAGACGAGGAGCUUGCUCCUCUGACGUUAGCGGCGGACGGGUGAGUAACACGUGGAUAACCUACCUAUAAGACUGGGAUAACUUCGGGAAACCGGAGCUAAUACCGGAUAAUAUAUUGAACCGCAUGGUUCAAUAGUGAAAGACGGUUUUGCUGUCACUUAUAGAUGGAUCCGCGCCGCAUUAGCUGGUUGGUAAGGUAACGGCUUACCAAGGCGACGAUGCGUAGCCGACCUGAGAGGGUGAUCGGCCACACUGUAACAGAGGCACGGUCCAGACUCCUACGGGAAGCAGCAGUAGGGACUCUUCCGCAAUGGGCGAAAGCCUGACGGAGCAACACCGCGUGAGUGAUGAAGGUCUUAGGAUCGUAAAACUCUGUUAUUAGUGAAGAACAAAUGUGUAAGUAACUAUGCACGUAUUGACGGUACCUGAUCAGAAAGCCACGGCUAACUACGUG
Molecule: ribosomal RNA, 497 nt
Filed under: uncultured bacterium
Lineage: Bacteria
Description: partial 16S ribosomal RNA
Rfam family: Bacterial small subunit ribosomal RNA
Source: RNAcentral